GACGAACGCUGGCGGCGUGCUUAACACAUGCAAGUCGAACGGAGUGGCGAACGGGUGAGUAACACGUGGGUGAACUGCCCUGCACUUCGGGAAAAGCUUGGGAAACUGGGUCUAAUACCGGAUAGUGCAAGAUGAGCUCGCGGCCUAUCUGCUUGUUGGUGGGGUAAUGGCCUACCACGGCGUCGACGGGUAGCCGGCCUGGGAGGGUGUACGGCCACAUUGGGACUGAGGUACGGCCCAGACGCCUACGGGAGGCAGCAGUGGGGAAUAGGGCACAAUGGGCGGAAGCCUGAUGCAGCGGCGCCAGGUGGGGGAUGAAGGCCUUCGGGUUGUAAACUCCUUUCGACAGGGACGCGGUACCUGUAGAAGAAGCACCGGCUAACUACGUGCCAGCAGCCGCGGUAAUAC
Molecule: ribosomal RNA, 408 nt
Filed under: uncultured bacterium
Lineage: Bacteria
Description: partial 16S ribosomal RNA
Rfam family: Bacterial small subunit ribosomal RNA
Source: RNAcentral